AACGAACGCUGGCGGCAGGCUUAACACAUGCAAGUCGAACGCCCCGCAAGGGGAGUGGCAGACGGGUGAGUAACGCGUGGGAACAUACCCUUUCCUGCGGAAUAGCUCCGGGAAACUGGAAUUAAUACCGCAUACGCCCUACGGGGGAAAGAUUUAUCGGGGAAGGAUUGGCCCGCGUUGGAUUAGCUAGUUGGUGGGGUAAAGGCCUACCAAGGCGACAAUCCAUAGCUGGUCUGAGAGGAUGAUCAGCCACAUUGGGACUGAGACACGGCCCAAACUCCUACGGGAGGCAGCAGUGGGGAAUAUUGGACAAUGGGCGCAAGCCUGAUCCAGCCAUGCCGCGUGAGUGAUGAAGGCCUUAGGGUUGUAAAGCUCUUUCACCGAUGAAGAUAAUGACGGUAGUCGGAGAAGAAGCCCCGGCUAACUUCGUG
RNAcentral lists this ribosomal RNA (431 nucleotides) under uncultured bacterium. Its description in RNAcentral is "partial 16S ribosomal RNA". It matches the Rfam family "Bacterial small subunit ribosomal RNA", at positions 29 to 507 of the family's 1533-position model. The record is from RNAcentral.